Molecule: ribosomal RNA, 540 nt
Filed under: Pleosporales sp. MR23-1
Lineage: Eukaryota; Fungi; Ascomycota; Dothideomycetes; Pleosporales
Description: eukaryotic LSU rRNA
Rfam family: 5.8S ribosomal RNA (bases 158-312)
Source: RNAcentral
CGGCCCUCCGCCCCGUCCGACUGGGGUGCUUUCCCUUACCCUUUGCCUAUUAUACCUCUGUACGUCCCUUCGGCCUUGGGUGCACCCAGCCGAAGGGCCUUGAUAAACCUCUUUGUCGAAAGCCGUUUUCUUCUGAUUGUGGGCGUAUUGAAUUUACAACUUUCAACAAUGGAUCUCUUGGCUCUGGCAUCGAUGAAGAACGCAGCGAAAUGCGAUAACGUAGUGUGAAUUGCAGAUUCCAGUGAAUCAUCGAAUCUUUGAACGCACAUUGCGCCCCUUGGUAUUCCAAAGGGCAUGCCUGUUCGAGCGUCAUGGACACCCUCAAGCUCUGCUUGGUGUUGGGCGGCUGUUCCCCGCAUUGCGUGAGGGCACUCGCCUCAAAGGCAUUGGCAGCUGGGCUGUCUGCCCCUCUCUGCGCCGUAGCUUUUGCGCGCAACGGGUGGGCCGGCAGCCGUAGCAAACCAGCAAGCAUGAACCAGCUUUUGACCUCGAAUCAGGUAGGAGUACCCGCUGAACUUAAGCAUAUCAAUAAGCGGAGGA